Molecule: ribosomal RNA, 663 nt
Filed under: uncultured bacterium
Lineage: Bacteria
Description: bacterial SSU rRNA
Rfam family: Bacterial small subunit ribosomal RNA
Source: RNAcentral
ACGCUGGCGGCAGGCCUAACACAUGCAAGUCGAGCGGUAGAGAGAAGCUUGCUUCUCUUGAGAGCGGCGGACGGGUGAGUAAUGCCUAGGAAUCUGCCUGGUAGUGGGGGAUAACGUCCGGAAACGGACGCUAAUACCGCAUACGUCCUACGGGAGAAAGCAGGGGACCUUCGGGCCUUGCGCUAUCAGAUGAGCCUAGGUCGGAUUAGCUAGUUGGUGGGGUAAUGGCUCACCAAGGCGACGAUCCGUAACUGGUCUGAGAGGAUGAUCAGUCACACUGGAACUGAGACACGGUCCAGACUCCUACGGGAGGCAGCAGUGGGGAAUAUUGGACAAUGGGCGAAAGCCUGAUCCAGCCAUGCCGCGUGUGUGAAGAAGGUCUUCGGAUUGUAAAGCACUUUAAGUUGGGAGGAAGGGCAGUUACCUAAUACGUGAUUGUUUUGACGUUACCGACAGAAUAAGCACCGGCUAACUCUGUGCCAGCAGCCGCGGUAAUACAGAGGGUGCAAGCGUUAAUCGGAAUUACUGGGCGUAAAGCGCGCGUAGGUGGUUCGUUAAGUUGGAUGUGAAAUCCCCGGGCUCAACCUGGGAACUGCAUUCAAAACUGACGAGCUAGAGUAUGGUAGAGGGUGGUGGAAUUUCCUGUGUAGCGGUGAAAUGCGU